AAUGAACGUUGGCGGCGUGGAUUAGGCAUGCAAGUCGAGCGCUCAUAGCAAUAUGGGAGCGGCGAACGGCGUAGGAAUUCAUAGGAACGUACCCUCAGGACGGGGAUAGCUACGGGAAACUGUAGGUAAUACCCGAUGAUCUCCGCGGAGCAAAGGUGUGAUUCCGCCUGAGGAGCGGCUUAUGCGAUAUUAGCUAGUUGGUGGGGUAAUGGCCUACCAAGGCGACGAUGUCUAGGGGGUGUGAGAGCAUGGCCCCCCACGACCGGAACUGAGAUACUGUCCGGACACCUACGGGUGGCUGCAGUCGAGAAUCUUCCGCAAUGGGCGAAAGCCUGACGGAGCGACGCCGCGUGGUGGAUGAAGGCCCUUGGGUUGUAAACACCUGUCAGAGGGGAUGAAAUCAUGGUUGGCAAUCCUUCCAUGUUGACAGAGCCUCAGAGGAAGCACGGGCUAAGUACGUGCCAGCAGCCGCGGU
RNAcentral lists this ribosomal RNA (475 nucleotides) under uncultured bacterium. Its description in RNAcentral is "bacterial SSU rRNA". It matches the Rfam family "Bacterial small subunit ribosomal RNA", at positions 29 to 521 of the family's 1533-position model. The record is from RNAcentral.